UACGGAAGGCAGCAGUGGGGAAUAUUGCACAAUGGGCGCAAGCCUGAUGCAGCCAUGCCGCGUGUAUGAAGAAGGCCUUCGGGUUGUAAAGUACUUUCAGUCGUGAGGAAGGUGUUAAGGUUAAUAACCUUAGCAAUUGACGUUAGCGACAGAAGAAGCACCGGCUAACUCCGUGCCAGCAGCCGCGGUAAUACGGAGGGUGCGAGCGUUAAUCGGAAUUACUGGGCGUAAAGGGCACGCAGGCGGUUAAUUAAGUUGGAUGUGAAAUCCCCGGGCUUAACCUGGGAAUGGCAUUCAAGACUGGUUAGCUAGAGUCUUGUAGAGGGGGUAGAAUUCCAUGUGUAGCGGUGAAAUGCGUAGAGAUGUGGAGGAAUACCGGUGGCGAAGGCGGCCCCUGGACAAAGACUGACGCUCAUGUGCGAAAGCGUGGGGAGCGAAAACAGGGAUUAGAUACC
RNAcentral lists this ribosomal RNA (455 nucleotides) under uncultured bacterium. RNAcentral's name for it is "bacterial SSU rRNA". It matches the Rfam family "Bacterial small subunit ribosomal RNA", at positions 340 to 786 of the family's 1533-position model. The record is from RNAcentral.